This 185-nucleotide ribosomal RNA is filed under the name uncultured bacterium. RNAcentral's name for it is "partial 16S ribosomal RNA". It matches the Rfam family "Bacterial small subunit ribosomal RNA", at positions 1309 to 1500 of the family's 1533-position model. The record is from RNAcentral.
AACCCGAACUCUGUGAAGCUGGAUUCGCUAGUAAUCGCGCAUCAGCCAUGGCGCGGUGAAUACGUUCCCGGGCCUUGUACACACCGCCCGUCAAGCCAUGGGAGCCAAGGGCGCUUGAAGUGCGUCGCCGCAAGGCGCGCCCUAGAGCGAAAUCGGUGACUGGGGCUAAGUCGUAACAAGGUACC